Molecule: microRNA precursor, 87 nt
Filed under: Chlorocebus sabaeus (green monkey)
Lineage: Eukaryota; Metazoa; Chordata; Mammalia; Primates; Cercopithecidae
Description: miRNA (ENSCSAG00000019765.1)
Source: RNAcentral
UCUAUGUAGGUUGAUGCAAAAAUAAUGGAGUUUUUUUCCCAUGAAAGGUAAUGGCAAAAAUGGCAAUUACUUUUGCACCAACCAAUA